UUUUCAUCCCUGACAGAGCUAACAAUAGCUGUAUAAACAGCACUCAGUUCUGGCAGUCUACCCUGUAGUACCCCUACGUUUGCAUUAACGAAAGCAGUGUAGCC
This 104-nucleotide non-coding RNA is filed under the name Yersinia enterocolitica. RNAcentral describes it as "Yersinia sRNA 100". It matches the Rfam family "Yersinia sRNA 100". From Rfam's summary of the family: 5' located ORF: qor, 3' located ORF: pspG. Lineage: Bacteria; Pseudomonadati; Pseudomonadota; Gammaproteobacteria; Enterobacterales; Yersiniaceae. The record is from RNAcentral.